Molecule: long non-coding RNA, 1427 nt
Filed under: Macaca mulatta (Rhesus monkey)
Lineage: Eukaryota; Metazoa; Chordata; Mammalia; Primates; Cercopithecidae
Description: lncRNA (ENSMMUG00000059437.1)
Source: RNAcentral
GCAAAAGGAUGAGAAGCAAAUAGGAGGAAAGACUUCAAGGCCUGGUGUCUUAGGUUUGUUCCCCCCACGAGGAGAUAAGGAUUCAGAUGCAAGGGGUUCAUUUUCGAGGGGGAUCUCGGAAGCACCAGGAAGGGUCGAGGAAGUGAGAAUGGGCAGGAAAGGGAAAAAAAAAAAUUCCGGUGUGCCCAGAGCAGGCUAUGUCAGUGGGCACUGGUGCUCCAUCUUACUGGACUUCUGCCAGGGCAUGUAGAUGCGCCUCAUGCCUGAUGGAUGCAAAGCUGAAGCAUCUGGCACUAAUGAUCAUUCACGAUUGGUUGCAGGCUACUUCUGUAGGGGGUCACUCCCUGGUCCUUCUAGCCUGCCCUGUGCACAGGUUGAGGACAGUCCUGUGGCUGGAGAAAGCUGGAUCUGAAGGUUGUAGAAACUUGCGGAAAGAAGCCAUCAAAGUGACUUGGAAAGAGGUUUUAGCAAUGGUAUUUUUAUACACAGAGGAAGUACUCAAGAUGGAAAGACACAUCUCAAAAGGCCUGACAUCUACAUCGAUUUUCCUGAAUGACUUUUAUUUUCAUUGCUCAGGACGUUAGCAUCUUCUGAAAUGUCACGUUUAAAAGGCUGACUGGCCUUAUUGUUACAAGAUAGCACCAAAACUUACUUUUCAUUUAUGUCCAGAGAUAAGAGAAGGUUUAAGUCUUUCUCUUAAUGAUCCAACAAACAUCCUGAGAUCACCCUGCCAUCCUGAUUAAACCAACUGGGUUCCAUGCUAACUGUAAAUCAUGGAUAGGGAAUUGCAUAUGUUGAUAGGCUCAGGUCUGGAAUCUCGUCCAUCAGGAGCAAGAGGAGGGGUCAACCCUGCAUAAACCCAUAGCUGCUCCCGUAGGGAAUGGAUGAGACGGAGAUUGGGAACGCAAGCAGGCAUGUCACUUCAGAGUUUAAGCGGCAGGGUGGCACUUGAGAUUUAGAAAGAUGGCUUUGCAGCAUUGUGGAUUUAACUGCUGAAGGUGAGUGACAUUGGAGACAGAGAGGCCAGUCAGGAGGUAAUUUAAGGGAUCCUGGCAAGAAAAGAUAAGUGUGCAUGAAAAUGGGGGGCAAUGUGAGUCAAGAGGACUCACUUCAUGGUGUGACGGAGCUAAUAGAAAUUGGGGACCACCUUGAUGCGGAGAAUGAGGGAGGUGGGAUGGGGUAAGAAUGCCUUGCCCAUUUCUGAUGUCGUGGUGAAAGUGGAGGUGCGGUUCAUUAGGAGAAGUGGAGGGAGAAGACAUUUAAGUUUUGGAGGAAAGAUGACUAGGUCUGUGAUCUUUUCUUUUUAUGUGUUUUUCUUUCUUUCUUUUCUUUCUUUCUUUCUUUCUUUCUUUCUUUCUUUCUUUCUUUCUUUCUUUCUUUCUUUCUUUCUUUUUUUUUUUCUUUCUUUCUUUCUUUCUUUCUUUCUU